RNAcentral lists this ribosomal RNA (515 nucleotides) under uncultured bacterium. Its description in RNAcentral is "partial 16S ribosomal RNA". It matches the Rfam family "Bacterial small subunit ribosomal RNA", at positions 28 to 523 of the family's 1533-position model. The record is from RNAcentral.
GAUGAACGCUGGCGGCGUGCCUAAUACAUGCAAGUCGAGCGAAUGGAUUAAGAGCUUGCUCUUAUGAAGUUAGCGGCGGACGGGUGAGUAACGCGUGGGUAACCUGCCCAUAAGACUGGGAUAACUCCGGGAAACCGGGGCUAAUACCGGAUAACAUUUUGAACCGCAUGGUUCGAAAUUGAAAGGCGGCUUCGGCUGUCACUUAUGGAUGGACCAGCGUCGCAUUAGCUAGUUGGUGAGGUAACGGGUCACCAAGGCAACGAUGCGUAGCCGACCUGAGAGGGGAAUCGGCCGCACUGGGACUGGGACGAGGCCCAGACUCCUACGGGAGUCAGCAGUAGGGAAUCGUCCGAAAUGGACGAAAGUCUGACGGAGCAACUCCGCGUGAGUGAUGAAGGCUUUCGGGUCGUAAAACUCUGUUGUUAGGGAAGAACAAGUGCUAGUUGAAUAAGCUGGCACCUUGACGGUACCUAACCAGAAAGCCACGGCUAACUACGUGCCAGCAGCCGCGGUAA